AACGAACGCUGGCGGCAUGCUUAACACAUGCAAGUCGAACGAUGGCUUCGGCCAUAGUGGCGGACGGGUGAGUAGCGCGUGGGAACCUGCCCCGAGGUACGGAAUAACCGCUGGAAACGGCGGCUAAUACCGUAUGAGCCCUGAGGGGGAAAGAUUUAUCGGCUUGGGAGGGGCCCGCGUCCGAUUAGGUAGUUGGUGAGGUAAAGGCGCACCAAGCCUGCGAUCGGUAGCUGGUCUGAGAGGAUGAUCAGCCACACUGGGACUGAGACACGGCGCAGACUGCUACGGGAGGCAGCAGUGGGGAAUAUUGGACAAUGGGGGCAACCCUGAUCCAGCAAUGCCGCGUGAGUGAUGAAGGCCUUCGGGUUGUAAAGCUCUUUCACCCACGACGAUGAUGACGGUAGUGGGGGAAGAAGCCCCGGCUAACUUCGUGCCAGCCGCCGCAGUAA
Molecule: ribosomal RNA, 449 nt
Filed under: uncultured bacterium
Lineage: Bacteria
Description: partial 16S ribosomal RNA
Rfam family: Bacterial small subunit ribosomal RNA
Source: RNAcentral